CAGGCUUAACACAUGCAAGUCGAGGGGCAGCACAGGUAGCAAUACCGGGUGGCGACCGGCGCACGGGUGAGUAACGCGUAUGCAACUUGCCUAUCAGAGGGGGAUAACCCGGCGAAAGUCGGACUAAUACCGCAUGAAGCAGGGGCCCCGCAUGGGGAUAUUUGCUAAAGAUUCAUCGCUGAUAGAUAGGCAUGCGUUCCAUUAGGCAGUUGGCGGGGUAACGGCCCACCAAACCGACGAUGGAUAGGGGUUCUGAGAGGAAGGUCCCCCACAUUGGUACUGAGACACGGACCAAACUCCUACGGGAGGCAGCAGUGAGGAAUAUUGGUCAAUGGGCGCGAGCCUGAACCAGCCAAGUCGCGUGAGGGAUGAAGGUUCUAUGGAUCGUAAACCUCUUUUAUAAGGGAAUAAAGUGCGGGACGUGUCCCGUUUUGUAUGUACCUUAUGAAUAAGGAUCGGCUAACUCCGUGCCAGCAGCCGCGGUAAUACGGAGGAUCCGAGCGUUAUCCGGAUUUAUUGGGUUUAAAGGGUGCGUAGGCGGCCUUUUAAGUCAGCGGUGAAAGUCUGUGGCUCAACCAUAGAAUUGCCGUUGAAACUGGGGGGCUUGAGUAUGUUUGAGGCAGGCGGAAUGCGUGGUGUAGCGGUGAAAUGCAUAGAUAUCACGCAGAACCCCGAUUGCGAAGGCAGCCUGCCAAGCCAUUACUGACGCUGAUGCACGAAAGCGUGGGGAUCAAACAGGAUUAGAUACCCUGGUAGUCCACGCAGUAAACGAUGAUCACUAGCUGUUUGCGAUACACUGUAAGCGGCACAGCGAAAGCGUUAAGUGAUCCACCUGGGGAGUACGCCGGCAACGGUGAAACUCAAAGGAAUUGACGGGGGCCCGCACAAGCGGAGGAACAUGUGGUUUAAUUCGAUGAUACGCGAGGAACCUUACCCGGGUUUGAACGCAUUCGGACCGAGGUGGAAACACCUUUUCUAGCAAUAGCCGUUUGCGAGGUGCUGCAUGGUUGUCGUCAGCUCGUGCCGUGAGGUGUCGGCUUAAGUGCCAUAACGAGCGCAACCCUUGCCACUAGUUACUAACAGGUAAAGCUGAGGACUCUGGUGGGACUGCCAGCGUAAGCUGCGAGGAAGGCGGGGAUGACGUCAAAUCAGCACGGCCCUUACAUCCGGGGCGACACACGUGUUACAAUGGCGUGGACAAAGGGAAGCCACCUGGCGACAGGGAGCGAAUCCCCAAACCACGUCUCAGUUCGGAUCGGAGUCUGCAACCCGACUCCGUGAAGCUGGAUUCGCUAGUAAUCGCGCAUCAGCCAUGGCGCGGUGAAUACGUUCCCGGGCCUUGUACACACCGCCCGUCAAGCCAUGGGAGCCGGGGGUACCUGAAGUCCGUAACCGCGAGGAUCGGCCUAGGGUAAAACUGGUGACUGGGGC
This 1431-nucleotide ribosomal RNA is filed under the name uncultured organism. RNAcentral describes it as "16S ribosomal RNA". It matches the Rfam family "Bacterial small subunit ribosomal RNA". The record is from RNAcentral.